GGGCCUGUAGCUCAGCUAGGUAGAGCAUCUGGCUUUUAACCAGGUGGCCAGGGGUUCGAAUUUGGCUGGCGACGGGCCGCCAAUAGAAAAUCCCCUCAGGCCCG
This 104-nucleotide transfer RNA is filed under the name Thermoplasmatales archaeon. RNAcentral's name for it is "tRNA-Lys". It matches the Rfam family "tRNA". From Rfam's summary of the family: Transfer RNA (tRNA) molecules are approximately 80 nucleotides in length. Their secondary structure includes four short double-helical elements and three loops (D, anti-codon, and T loops). The record is from RNAcentral. Lineage: Archaea; Methanobacteriati; Thermoplasmatota; Thermoplasmata; Thermoplasmatales.